Mus musculus (house mouse) is the source of this 365-nucleotide long non-coding RNA. RefSeq annotates it as predicted gene, 39231. The transcript is spliced from 3 exons. The record is from RefSeq and is a predicted model, not a curated record. NCBI's taxonomy places the organism in Eukaryota, Metazoa, Chordata, Mammalia, Rodentia, Muridae.
GCAAGUUUUACAGUGCCCGGAACAUCACAGGUGCUUAAUCAACACUUACUGGAUUGCUGAUGAAUUAGUUCACUCUUUGUAGUUCUUCCUGAACUCUGGCUGGUUGGUUCAACUCAGCUGCUCCAACUCAAUACUCUUCUCCAACCUAGAGGAUUCAAACUGGUUUCUCUAAGCUUCUCGUUGAAUUGCUCUGCUUGGAAAAACUGCCUCUGAAUUCCACCAACUGAACUUCUCUGACUACACUGACUACAUGAGCUGAACUCAACUGCACCAAGCUAUUCUGGACUAAACUCCAUGGAACUGUUUAAAGAUGUAUAUUAAUCAUGUGUCUACACUCCAGCCAAAUCACAUAGACCUAAGUCAUU